This is a non-coding RNA of Mycena metata, 92 nucleotides long. Lineage: Eukaryota; Fungi; Basidiomycota; Agaricomycetes; Agaricales; Mycenaceae. The record is from the annotation of a GenBank genome assembly.
UCGGACAUGGUGUACGGUACACGCCCUCGUUUGUUGUGAGUAUGGUCGCGAGAUGCAAGAGGGAAUCCGGGGUUCAACUCCCCGUGUCCGAA